UCCCGCUUAGCUCAGUGGUAGAGCGCAUCACUAGUACCAGUACGUGUAUGUGCAAAUUAUGAUGAGGUCAGUCGUUCAAGUCGGCUAGUGGGAA
Non-coding RNA from Fomitiporia mediterranea MF3/22, 94 nucleotides. The record is from the annotation of a RefSeq genome assembly. NCBI's taxonomy places the organism in Eukaryota, Fungi, Basidiomycota, Agaricomycetes, Hymenochaetales, Hymenochaetaceae.